This 98-nucleotide transfer RNA is filed under the name Paraburkholderia solisilvae. RNAcentral describes it as "tRNA-Ala". The record is from RNAcentral. Lineage: Bacteria; Pseudomonadati; Pseudomonadota; Betaproteobacteria; Burkholderiales; Burkholderiaceae.
GCGCGUGGUAUUCGGGCGGCAUGCGAAUGCCGGCGUGGCUGGCCGGCGUCUGUGUUGCGGCGGAUCGUGCGGCGCCGUCCGGCCCGGCGCGCUCGCGC